Molecule: ribosomal RNA, 253 nt
Filed under: uncultured bacterium
Lineage: Bacteria
Description: partial 16S ribosomal RNA
Rfam family: Bacterial small subunit ribosomal RNA
Source: RNAcentral
UACAGAGGUCCCAAGCGUUGUUCGGAUUUACUGGGCGUAAAGGGUGCGUAGGUGGCAGGACAAGUCUGGCGUGAAAUCUCCGAGCUCAACUCGGAAAUUGCGUUGGAAACUGUUUUGCUAGAGGAUUGGAGGGGAGACUGGAAUACUUGGUGUAGCAGUGGAAUGCGUAGAUAUCAAGUGGAACACCAGUGGCGAAGGCGAGUCUCUGGACAAUUCCUGACACUGAGGCACGAAAGCUAGGGGAGCAAACGGG